RNAcentral lists this small RNA (127 nucleotides) under Marmota monax (woodchuck). Lineage: Eukaryota; Metazoa; Chordata; Mammalia; Rodentia; Sciuridae. The record is from RNAcentral.
GCUGGGUGUGGUGGUGCACGCCUGUAAUCCUAGCACCUUGAGAGGCUGAGGCAGGAGAAUUCCAAGUUCAAGGUCAGCCUCAGUAACUUAGUGAGACCCUAAGCAACUUAGUAAGAUCCCGUCUCAG